CCUACGGGAGGCAGCAGUAGGGAAUAUUGCUCAAUGGGGGAAACCCUGAAGCAGCAACGCCGCGUGGAGGAUGAAGGUUUUCGGAUUGUAAACCCCUUUUGUUAGAGAAGAUAAUGACGGUAUCUAACGAAUAAGCACCGGCUAACUCCGUGCCAGCAGCCGCGGUUAUACGGAGGGUGCAAGCGUUACUCGGAAUCACUGGGCGUAAAGGGGGCGUAGGCGGGAUAGCAAGUCAGAUGUGAAAGUCUAUGGCUUAACCCUAGAACUGCAUUUGAAACUGUGAGUCUAGAGUUUAGGAGAGGUAGGUGGAAUUCGUGGUGUAGGGGUGAAAUCCGUAGAGAUCAAGAGGAAUACUCAUUGCGAAGGCGACCUGCUAGAACAUAACUGACGCUGAUGCGCGAAAGCGUGGGGAGCAAACAGGAUUAGAUACCCGGGUAGUC
Molecule: ribosomal RNA, 440 nt
Filed under: uncultured bacterium
Lineage: Bacteria
Description: partial 16S ribosomal RNA
Rfam family: Bacterial small subunit ribosomal RNA
Source: RNAcentral